AAGUCGUAACAAGGUUUCCGUAGGUGAACCUGCGGAAGGAUCAUUACUGAAGAAUUGAUAAGGUUGAGCUGACUCUUUUAACGAGGGUAACGUGCUUGCCUUGUCGCUUUUUCUAUUCUCCCUUGUGAACCUUUUCUUCGUAGGCUGGUUUGGAUUUUAUGGAUGAAUGAUCUUUAUUAUUAUUAUUUUACAUUGAGACUCGCGCCAGUGCAUUUCAGUGAAUCUGAUUCGCAUUAUUAAGGUGCUUGACUCUACCUUCAUUCAUUCAUAAUCCUUGUCAGUCUAUGAUAUUACAUCUACUCUUCAGUUUAUGAAUGUCUUAUUGUUGGUUUGAAUACCCAAUAAAUUGUUAGUACAACUUUCAGCAACGGAUCUCUUGGCUCUC
This 385-nucleotide unclassified non-coding RNA is filed under the name air metagenome. RNAcentral's name for it is "partial contains small subunit ribosomal RNA, internal transcribed spacer 1, and 5.8S ribosomal RNA". The stretch from base 1 to 46 matches the Rfam family "Eukaryotic small subunit ribosomal RNA", at positions 1786 to 1831 of the family's 1831-position model. The record is from RNAcentral.